GGGCGACUAGCUCAGGGGUAGAGCGCAUCCUUCACACGGAUGAGGCCGCUGGUUCGAAACCAGCGUCGCCCACCA
Molecule: transfer RNA, 75 nt
Filed under: Coriobacteriaceae bacterium BV3Ac1
Lineage: Bacteria; Bacillati; Actinomycetota; Coriobacteriia; Coriobacteriales; Coriobacteriaceae
Also listed under: 4 other names
Description: tRNA-Val
Rfam family: tRNA
About the family: Transfer RNA (tRNA) molecules are approximately 80 nucleotides in length. Their secondary structure includes four short double-helical elements and three loops (D, anti-codon, and T loops).
Source: RNAcentral